GAUGAACGCUGGCGGCGUGCUUAAUACAUGCAAGUCGAGCGAACAGACCAGGUGCUGGGUCCAUUGACGUUAGCGGCGGACGGGUGAGUAACACGUAGGCAACCCAUCUAUAUGAGUGGGCUAACUGCGGGAAACGGGAGUAAAUGCUGGAUGCUACUUCGAACCGCAUGGUUCGAGAGUGAAAGAUGGGUUGGCUAUCAACUAUAGAUGGACCAGCGGCUUAUUGGCUAGUUGGUAAGGUAACGGCUUACCAAGGCAACGAUACGUAGCCGACCUGUGAGGGGGAUCCCCCACACUGGAGCUGAGCCACGAUCCUGACUCCUACGGGAGGCAGCGGUACGGAAUCUUCCGCAAUGGGCGGAAGCCUGACGGAGCAACGCCGCGUGAGUGCUGAAGGUCUUCGGGUCGUAAAACUCUGUUAUUGUGGAAGAACAAUUGUGUAAGUAACUAUGCACGUCGUGACGGUACCUGAUCAAAAAGCCACGGCUAACUACGUG
RNAcentral lists this ribosomal RNA (497 nucleotides) under uncultured bacterium. Its description in RNAcentral is "partial 16S ribosomal RNA". It matches the Rfam family "Bacterial small subunit ribosomal RNA", at positions 28 to 507 of the family's 1533-position model. The record is from RNAcentral.